AGUGAACGCUGGCGGCAGGCCUAACACAUGCAAGUCGAGCGGCAGCGCGGGGGCAACCCUGGCGGCGAGCGGCGGACGGGUGAGGAAUUCGUCGGAAUCUGCCUUUUUGUGGGGGAUAACGUAGGGAAACUUACGCUAAUACCGCAUACGUCCUACGGGAGAAAGUGGGGGACCGCAAGGCCUCACGCUGAAAGAUGAGCCGACGACCGAUUAGCUAGUUGGUGGGGUAAAGGCCCACCAAGGCGACGAUCGGUAGCUGGUCUGAGAGGAUGAUCAGCCACACUGGGACUGAGACACGGCCCAGACUCCUACGGGAGGCAGCAGUGGGGAAUAUUGGACAAUGGGCGCAAGCCUGAUCCAGCCAUGCCGCGUGUGUGAAGAAGGCCUUCGGGUUGUAAAGCACUUUUGUCCGGAAAGAAAGCCUUGGAGCUAAUACCUUCGGGGGAUGACGGUACCGGAAGAAUAAGCACCGGCUAACUUCGUG
RNAcentral lists this ribosomal RNA (484 nucleotides) under uncultured bacterium. RNAcentral's name for it is "partial 16S ribosomal RNA". It matches the Rfam family "Bacterial small subunit ribosomal RNA", at positions 29 to 507 of the family's 1533-position model. The record is from RNAcentral.